UUAAGCGACUAAGCGUACACGGUGGAUGCCCUGGCAGUCAGAGGCGAUGAAGGACGUGCUAAUCUGCGAUAAGCGUCGGUAAGGUGAUAUGAACCGUUAUAACCGGCGAUUUCCGAAUGGGGAAACCCAGUGUGUUUCGACACACUAUCAUUAACUGAAUCCAUAGGUUAAUGAGGCGAACCGGGGGAACUGAAACAUCUAAGUACCCCGAGGAAAAGAAAUCAACCGAGAUUCCCCCAGUAGCGGCGAGCGAACGGGGAGCAGCCCAGAGCCUGAAUCAGUGUGUGUGUUAGUGGAAGCGUCUGGAAAGGCGCGCGAUACAGGGUGACAGCCCCGUACACAAAAAUGCACAUGCUGUGAGCUCGAUGAGUAGGGCGGGACACGUGGUAUCCUGUCUGAAUAUGGGGGGACCAUCCUCCAAGGCUAAAUACUCCUGACUGACCGAUAGUGAACCAGUACCGUGAGGGAAAGGCGAAAAGAACCCCGGCGAGGGGAGUGAAAAAGAACCUGAAACCGUGUACGUACAAGCAGUGGGAGCACGCUUAGGCGUGUGACUGCGUACCUUUUGUAUAAUGGGUCAGCGACUUAUAUUCUGUAGCAAGGUUAACCGAAUAGGGGAGCCGAAGGGAAACCGAGUCUUAACUGGGCGUUAAGUUGCAGGGUAUAGACCCGAAACCCGGUGAUCUAGCCAUGGGCAGGUUGAAGGUUGGGUAACACUAACUGGAGGACCGAACCGACUAAUGUUGAAAAAUUAGCGGAUGACUUGUGGCUGGGGGUGAAAGGCCAAUCAAACCGGGAGAUAGCUGGUUCUCCCCGAAAGCUAUUUAGGUAGCGCCUCGUGAAUUCAUCUCCGGGGGUAGAGCACUGUUUCGGCAAGGGGGUCAUCCCGACUUACCAACCCGAUGCAAACUGCGAAUACCGGAGAAUGUUAUCACGGGAGACACACGGCGGGUGCUAACGUCCGUCGUGAAGAGGGAAACAACCCAGACCGCCAGCUAAGGUCCCAAAGUCAUGGUUAAGUGGGAAACGAUGUGGGAAGGCCCAGACAGCCAGGAUGUUGGCUUAGAAGCAGCCAUCAUUUAAAGAAAGCGUAAUAGCUCACUGGUCGAGUCGGCCUGCGCGGAAGAUGUAACGGGGCUAAACCAUGCACCGAAGCUGCGGCAGCGACGCUUAUGCGUUGUUGGGUAGGGGAGCGUUCUGUAAGCCUGUGAAGGUGUGCUGUGAGGCAUGCUGGAGGUAUCAGAAGUGCGAAUGCUGACAUAAGUAACGAUAAAGCGGGUGAAAAGCCCGCUCGCCGGAAGACCAAGGGUUCCUGUCCAACGUUAAUCGGGGCAGGGUGAGUCGACCCCUAAGGCGAGGCCGAAAGGCGUAGUCGAUGGGAAACAGGUUAAUAUUCCUGUACUUGGUGUUACUGCGAAGGGGGGACGGAGAAGGCUAUGUUGGCCGGGCGACGGUUGUCCCGGUUUAAGCGUGUAGGCUGGUUUUCCAGGCAAAUCCGGAAAAUCAAGGCUGAGGCGUGAUGACGAGGCACUACGGUGCUGAAGCAACAAAUGCCCUGCUUCCAGGAAAAGCCUCUAAGCAUCAGGUAACAUCAAAUCGUACCCCAAACCGACACAGGUGGUCAGGUAGAGAAUACCAAGGCGCUUGAGAGAACUCGGGUGAAGGAACUAGGCAAAAUGGUGCCGUAACUUCGGGAGAAGGCACGCUGAUAUGUAGGUGAAGUCCCUCGCGGAUGGAGCUGAAAUCAGUCGAAGAUACCAGCUGGCUGCAACUGUUUAUUAAAAACACAGCACUGUGCAAACACGAAAGUGGACGUAUACGGUGUGACGCCUGCCCGGUGCCGGAAGGUUAAUUGAUGGGGUUAGCCGCAAGGCGAAGCUCUUGAUCGAAGCCCCGGUAAACGGCGGCCGUAACUAUAACGGUCCUAAGGUAGCGAAAUUCCUUGUCGGGUAAGUUCCGACCUGCACGAAUGGCGUAAUGAUGGCCAGGCUGUCUCCACCCGAGACUCAGUGAAAUUGAACUCGCUGUGAAGAUGCAGUGUACCCGCGGCAAGACGGAAAGACCCCGUGAACCUUUACUAUAGCUUGACACUGAACAUUGAGCCUUGAUGUGUAGGAUAGGUGGGAGGCUUUGAAGUGUGGACGCCAGUCUGCAUGGAGCCGACCUUGAAAUACCACCCUUUAAUGUUUGAUGUUCUAACGUUGACCCGUAAUCCGGGUUGCGGACAGUGUCUGGUGGGUAGUUUGACUGGGGCGGUCUCCUCCUAAAGAGUAACGGAGGAGCACGAAGGUUGGCUAAUCCUGGUCGGACAUCAGGAGGUUAGUGCAAUGGCAUAAGCCAGCUUGACUGCGAGCGUGACGGCGCGAGCAGGUGCGAAAGCAGGUCAUAGUGAUCCGGUGGUUCUGAAUGGAAGGGCCAUCGCUCAACGGAUAAAAGGUACUCCGGGGAUAACAGGCUGAUACCGCCCAAGAGUUCAUAUCGACGGCGGUGUUUGGCACCUCGAUGUCGGCUCAUCACAUCCUGGGGCUGAAGUAGGUCCCAAGGGUAUGGCUGUUCGCCAUUUAAAGUGGUACGCGAGCUGGGUUUAGAACGUCGUGAGACAGUUCGGUCCCUAUCUGCCGUGGGCGCUGGAGAAUUGAGGGGGGCUGCUCCUAGUACGAGAGGACCGGAGUGGACGCAUCACUGGUGUUCGGGUUGUCAUGCCAAUGGCACUGCCCGGUAGCUAAAUGCGGAAGAGAUAAGUGCUGAAAGCAUCUAAGCACGAAACUUGCCCCGAGAUGAGUUCUCCCUGACUCCUUGAGAGUCCUGAAGGAACGUUGAAGACGACGACGUUGAUAGGCCGGGUGUGUAAGCGCAGCGAUGCGUUGAGCUAACCGGUACUAAUGAACCGUGAGGCUUAACCUU
This 2904-nucleotide ribosomal RNA is filed under the name Escherichia coli. RNAcentral's name for it is "bacterial LSU rRNA". It matches the Rfam family "Bacterial large subunit ribosomal RNA". Lineage: Bacteria; Pseudomonadati; Pseudomonadota; Gammaproteobacteria; Enterobacterales; Enterobacteriaceae. The record is from RNAcentral.